Non-coding RNA from Otolemur garnettii (small-eared galago), 32 nucleotides. NCBI's taxonomy places the organism in Eukaryota, Metazoa, Chordata, Mammalia, Primates, Galagidae. The record is from Rfam.
AUAUUUUCUGAGACAGUGCUUUUCAAAAGUAU